AUUGAAUCCAUAACUGCAAGAGGCAUUAAGCAUUUGUGUGAUGAACUUCUGGAGCUAAAGGAAGCAGCUAAUGAAGAUUUACAGAGAAACAUAUAUGCCAAGUAUUCCACUUUCCUUAGAGUACUGGAGGAAGCUAGAGAAAUGGAAAAUGAGCUUGUGCAAAUGGAAAACCAUUUUGUAUCUCAUAGAAGACGAGUAAAGGAUCUUAUAGAUCGAAUAUAUCCAAAGAUAUUGUCCAUAGAUAUAACCUUCGAAGAUCAUGUAAAUGUUGUCCCAUCUCCCCCCAGAGAAUUGGAAGCUCUUGUCAAUGAAUGUUUAGAGAAUUUGGAUAUUCGCAUGUCAGAAAACAAGAUAGAUGAAGCCCUGCACUUUCUAGAAUCUGCAGAUGAGCAUUAUCAAAGCCUUCUGUUGCAAGAUUGUUCCCAUAGUGAGAUGAUGUUGUAUGAAUCCGCAAUUUCUGAGAAAAAGUCCAUGCUUAUACAACAGUUUGCACAAAUAGCUGAGAAUAAAAGAACAGCAGGACCGGAACUUCAGAGGGCACUAGAAAAACUUUGCAGACUUGGUGAUAGUCAACUUGCUAUUGAUCUAUUGCUCAAGCAUUACCAUUUGCGUAUUGUGACUGGAACAGAUAAUUUACAGUGGGCAAAGUUAUCUUCAAGUGAGUUAUAUAUAAGGGAACUUGCAAGGUUCGUGUUCUCAAUCAUUUCACAAGCAGCAAGGAGCUUUGUGAUGUUGUGUGGAGAGACUUCUUCAUGUACCUCAGAACUCAUGCUUUGGGCUUAUGAAGAAACAAAGUCAUUUAUCAUUUGUUUUGAUAGAU
Molecule: small RNA, 820 nt
Filed under: Vigna angularis var. angularis
Lineage: Eukaryota; Viridiplantae; Streptophyta; Magnoliopsida; Fabales; Fabaceae
Description: Non-protein coding transcript
Source: RNAcentral